This 464-nucleotide ribosomal RNA is filed under the name uncultured bacterium. RNAcentral describes it as "partial 16S ribosomal RNA". It matches the Rfam family "Bacterial small subunit ribosomal RNA", at positions 339 to 795 of the family's 1533-position model. The record is from RNAcentral.
CUACGGGUUGCAGCAGUAGGGAAUAUUGCGCAAUGGGCGAAAGCCUGACGCAGCAAUACCGCAUGAGUGAGGAAGGUUUUCGGAUUGUAAAGCUCCGUCAGAAUGGAAAAACGGCAUAUUAUCUAAUAGGUAGUAUGUUUGAUGGUACAUUCAAAGGAGGCACCGGCUAACUUCGUGCCAGCAGCCGCGGUAAUACGAAGGGUGCAAGCGUUAUUCGGAUUUAUUGGGCGUAAAGCGCGCGUAGGCGGAUUGUUAAGUCAGAUGUGAAAUCUCGGGGCUCAACCCCGAAACUGCGUCUGAACUAAGAAUCUAGAAUCAUGGAGAGGGAAGGGGAAUUUCGCAUGUAGGGGUAAAAUCCGUAGAGAUGCGAAAGAACACCAGAGGCGAAGGCGCCUUCCUGGACAUGUAUUGACGCUGAGGCGCGAAAGCGUGGGGAGCAAACAGGAUUAGAUACCCCCGUAGUC